RNAcentral lists this long non-coding RNA (316 nucleotides) under Chinchilla lanigera (long-tailed chinchilla). Its description in RNAcentral is "lncRNA (ENSCLAG00000023430.1)". Lineage: Eukaryota; Metazoa; Chordata; Mammalia; Rodentia; Chinchillidae. The record is from RNAcentral.
AAACCAGGUCAGCACCCAUCAAUUCACUACCCUCCGCAGAACCCUGAGACACAAGAGAUUUGAUGUUUGGCAUUAUAUGCAUAGAAAUGCAUGUCUUGAUUUGGAAUUUGGGGAGCUCUUUUUACACUUAACUACGAUUACAACCUCAUUCUGAGCUCCUUGGCUGAGAAAUGUCACAGACUGCUGAAGCUUGUCUCCAAGCCAAAGGCAAAUCUAUUUACAAAGUUGUCUUCAACUUUGGUAACUGAGCUUCAGCUUGAUUCUCCUUUGUUACAUGGUAUCUUCCUUCCCAAGAAAGUUGACCCUAGCCCUGGAU